CGCACAUUGUGCCCAUUAGUACUCUAGUGGGCAUGCCUGUUCGAGCGUCAUUACUACACUUAAGCCCUGUCGCUUAGCGUUGGGAGCCUACAGCACCUGUAGCUCCUCAAAGGUAGUUGGCGGAGUUUUUGUUGGCUCUAGGCGUAGUAAUUCUUUUCUCGCCUCUGUAGUCCCCUAGGCUCUUGCCGUUAAAAGGCCAAAUUAUACUGGUUGACCUCGGAUCAGGUAGGAAUACCCGCUGAACUUAA
RNAcentral lists this unclassified non-coding RNA (248 nucleotides) under Xylariaceae sp. RNAcentral's name for it is "partial contains 5.8S ribosomal RNA, internal transcribed spacer 2, and large subunit ribosomal RNA". Lineage: Eukaryota; Fungi; Ascomycota; Sordariomycetes; Xylariales; Xylariaceae. The record is from RNAcentral.